RNAcentral lists this ribosomal RNA (466 nucleotides) under uncultured archaeon. RNAcentral's name for it is "bacterial SSU rRNA". It matches the Rfam family "Archaeal small subunit ribosomal RNA", at positions 1 to 473 of the family's 1478-position model. The record is from RNAcentral.
CGGGGUUGGAUACCUGCCGGAGGCCAUUGCUAAAAGGGUUUGACUAAGCCAUGCGAGUCGAGAGGUGUAACACCUCGGCAUACUGCUCAGUAACACGUGGUUAACCUGCCCUAAGGUGGAGCAUACUCCCGGGAAACUGGGGCUAAUCCUCCAUAGUGGAUGUAUCCUGGAAUGGUAUAUCCUCGAAAGAUCCGUCGCCUUAGGAUGGGACUGCGUCCGAUUAGGUUGUUGGCGGGGUAACGGCCCACCAAGCCAUUGAUCGGUACGGGUUGUGGGAGCAAGAUCCCGGAGAUGGAUUCUGAGACAUGAAUCCAGGCCCUACGGGGCGCAGCAGGCGCGCAAACUUUACAAUGCGAGCAAUCGUGAUAAGGGAAACCCUGAGUGCCUGUCGAUGCAGGCUGUUCUUAUAUCUAAAUCAUAUGUGAAGAAAGGGCAGGGCAAGACCGGGUGCCAGCCGCCGGGGGAU